UACACACCGCCCGUCACACCACGAAAGUCGGCAAUACCCGAAGCAGGCGCAGCCAACCCCUUUUAGGGGAGGCGGUCUGCGAAGGUAGGGCUGGCGAUUGGGGUG
RNAcentral lists this ribosomal RNA (105 nucleotides) under uncultured bacterium. Its description in RNAcentral is "partial 16S ribosomal RNA". It matches the Rfam family "Bacterial small subunit ribosomal RNA", at positions 1384 to 1482 of the family's 1533-position model. The record is from RNAcentral.